CUAUAUACCUGGCAGGGAGAUACCAUGCUCAAGAAGGUGGUUCACACCAGGGAGAGGCUUAAACCAUUGCACUCCGGUUAUGCUGACCCCUGCGAAUUCCCCAAAUGUGGGAAUCUCGACUGCAUAAUUUGUGGUAGGGGGGGGACUGCGUUCGCGCUCUCCCCCA
This is a small nuclear RNA of Etheostoma spectabile (orangethroat darter), 166 nucleotides long. RefSeq annotates it as U1 spliceosomal RNA. The record is from RefSeq and is a predicted model, not a curated record. NCBI's taxonomy places the organism in Eukaryota, Metazoa, Chordata, Actinopteri, Perciformes, Percidae. The transcript has a single exon.